Long non-coding RNA from Brassica rapa (field mustard), 7741 nucleotides. RefSeq lists it as uncharacterized. Lineage: Eukaryota; Viridiplantae; Streptophyta; Magnoliopsida; Brassicales; Brassicaceae. The record is from RefSeq and is a predicted model, not a curated record.
AUAAAUUUAUUAACAUAGGUUAAAAUUUUAUAUCUGCAACUAUAUAUUAUAUUUUAUUUAUUUUGAAACUCUCAAUAAUAUAUUUUUAAAUGUUUAUAUACAAAAAUAUAAUAGUAAAUAAUAAUCUUUGGUUCAUAUGCUAUUUAAAAAUAUGUUAUUAGAAAACUAUGAAAUUUUAGUAAUUUAUUUAAAAUAUUAAUGAAAAAUCAAAUUUUAAUUAUAAUUUUUCUUUUUAAUUUUAACAAAAUCUGUUGAAAAAAAUUAGAAAAUAUUACCAAAAUUUUUAAUAUUUUUUAUAAAAUAAUGUAUUAAUAUAGUAACAAAAAACAAAUUUAAAAUUCAUGUAAUCUUCCAAACGUGGUAAAAUUUACACAAUAUAUAAUAACAAAAUUCUUGUAAUAAUAAUGCCAAAUAAGAAAUGUAAAAAAUAAUACUAUAGAUUUACACAAUAUAUAAUAACAAAAUGAAAAUUAUAUAUCUAAAAUCUUUAUAAUAAUAUAAAAUAUAUUUAUAAAAUAAAAAAAUAUCUGCACGAAUGUGCGGGAUAAAAUCUAGUUAUAUUUUAUUUCUUAAUCGCUUAAGGAACUUCUUAAAGCUAAAAUAGAUGGCUCAUCUAAUCUAUUAAUUUAGAGUUCUAUUUUUCUCUACCAUUAAUAAGUCAUAGUAGGACUAUUUAAAGAAUUAGUUAAUAUGACAUAUUUGAUUAUUUACAUUAAUAAUGAAUCAACUAUAAAUUUGAAUUUUAUUUUAAAGUAUAAUAAAAUCUGUUGAAGAAGAAUCUAACAAAAUCUUACUUCAAAUUUUAAAUAUUUUUAUAAAAUAACAUAUUAAUUAAUUUUGUAAUUAGUAAUUAUAAAUUAAUGUUAGCUAAAAUUUUAUUGUAAAACAAGAAAAUGAAAAUUAUAUACGAUUUAUUUUAUAAAUUCUAUAAUUAUAUUAUGUAUUAUAUAAAAAUAGAAGUGCUAUAUGAAUUAAAUAUGACAAAAUUUUAUUUUUUUAAGCUGUUUCAUUUAAAUAAAUUAUCAUUCAUCGUUAAAAUGGGUUAACAUUAAACUAUAUAAUAUUUUUAUACAAACAUAAAUUUAUUAACAUAGGUUAAAAUUUUAUAUCUGCAACUAUAUAUUAUCUUUUUAUUUAUUUUGAAACUCUUAACAAUAUAUUUUUUAAAUUUUUAUAUACAAAAAUAUAAUAGUAUAUAAUAACCUUUAGUUCAUAUACUAUUUAAAAAUAUGUAAUUAGAAAACUAUGAAAUUUUAGUAAUUCAUAUUAAUGAAAAAUCAAAUUUAAAUAGAAAUUUCUUUUUAAUUUUAACAAAAUCUGUUGAAACAAAUUUAGAAAAUAUUACCAAAAUUUCAAUAUUUUUUAUAAAAUAAUGUAUUAAUAUAGUAACAAAGAGAAAUUCAAAAUUCAUGUAAUCUUCCAAACGUGGUAAGAUUUACGCAAUAUAUAAUAACAAAAUUCAUGUAAUUAAUAAUACCGAAUAAGAAAUAUAAAAAUAAUAUUAUAGAUUUACACAAUAUAUAAUAAUAAAAUGGAAAUUAUAUAUUUAAAAUAUUUAUAAUAAUAUAAAAUAUAUUUAUAAAAUGAAAAAUAUCCGCACGAAUGUGCGGUUUAAAAUCUAAUUUAACAGUAUAAGGAACUUCUUUUCAAAUUUGAACUCAUAACAAGAUUUCAAUAUUUUAAGAUUUGAAACUAGCUUAGUCGUAAGUAAAAACAUUCCUAAUCACAAUAAAUAUUUUUUUGCGUGCAUAUGACUUUGUUUUGUAUAUUAAGGGCAUGACUGGUUUCUCCGCUACCAUCCGCAAACGCAGUUUUUGCGGUUUGUAGUGGUGGUUGGCGUUUUGCAACAAUCACUCAAACUGCUCUAAAUCGCUUCAAACCGCUCUUAACUUCUUAAUUUAAAAGCUGAUUCUAGCUAGCUUUUGCAGUUGCGGGCGGUUGCGGGAUGGUAAAUUUUUUUUUCUAAAAACAAUAUAACUACAAAAAUAAAAAUAAAAAUAAAAAUUUUAAACUGAAAUCAUAGAAAUACUAAAAUAUAUCUAUUUUAUUAUAUCUUAUAUUACAAAUUUUAAAAUAAAAAUAUUUUCAAUAAUUUUUUAAAUUUUUAAAAUAUAAUUUAAAAACAUAAUUUUAUAUUCAUCAUAAUAUUAUGAUGUUUGAUAUUUUAAUAAUUAUAUAAACUAUAAAUAUUGUUAAUUUAUUAUUUAGGCGUUAUUUUAUUUGGUGGUAAACCAGUCAUAAGUAUCGCGCAAACACAUCAAUUUCAAACCGCAGUACCAAUCGUACAAAUCUCUUAAAACCGCAACCACUCGCAUCCGCAAAUUCCCGCAACCACUGCGGUUACACCAGUCAGACCCUAAGUGUAAUCAAAACAACUACACAUAAAAUUCUUAUCCGCUUUAUGCAUAAUUUUUACUCCCAUAUGUUUCAUAUAUUAAGUGUCAUUCUAGCAUUUUUUUCUUAUUACAUAAAAAAUGUCAUUUUGAACUUCCAGUGCAAAAUUUAUUUACUUUUCAGAUAAAAUUAACUGCAAAGUUCAUUGAUCUUAUAAAUAAUUUGAUUUAUCUCAAAUUCUAUUGGUCAAACAUGUGUAACUAAUAUAAAUUGAAUAGCAUUUCAUUCAUUUUUUUAAUCUGUGUGAAAAAUGUCAAAGUGACACUAAACUUUUGCUACAACAACUCUACAUCUUUAUCUUUUUUGUUUGUUCAUGUUUUACUUUUUUUCCAUAAAAUAAUUAUUAAAGUUCUUUAGAAAUUGGUUCAACUUUGAAUGUAAAAAUUUAGCUAUACAAUUUUAGUUGUACGUAAGUUGGUUGUAGCUGUACAGUUGUUCCUGUAAUUUGUUUUUGCAGAGAUUUUUACUGCAGCUAAAUUUGUUGUAACUGGAAGCUAUAGGCUAUAAAUAAUUUAGAAUAAAAUAUGUGAUGUAUAUAUAAAAUAAUUAUUUUUACCAAUUAAAAUAAUUUAUAUUAAUAUUUUCUAUAAAUUAUUAAAGUUUAUCAAUACUAUUAAAAGGGAAAGAGUUCUAAAAGAUCUACUUAUAUAAGGUUGUUGGACCUUUUCCUUUUAACCUACAAAUUAAACUAAAUAUAUCUAAACUAUUAAUAUGUCAUAUAUUUUCUAUUUUUCUCUUAUAUCCUAUUAUUAAUUAUCCUAUUUUUGUGGAACCAUUAUUUUCAAAAAAAUAUCCUAAUAAUAAUGCCUACUAUCUAGGAUUAAUAUUUUGAAUCGUUACUAAAUUAGUGAUUACAUACCUUACGAUUUCAAAUAUGAUAAAACACUACUUUAUUAAACAAAGUUGACAUAUCCACUUCGAUUCAUGCAUAAGAGCUCAUCGAACUGGUAUAUGCAAAUCAUGCAUUGCUCUUUUCUUCCACCUACAAAUAAUAAACACGAACAACCAACUUUAUAGCUGCAACAUUAAAAUGUUUUUUUUUUGUAACUUAAAAUGUUAUUAGUAAUCAUUCGAAUUGUCAUAUAAGAAAGUUUAAUGACAAAAUUAAACAAUACUUUUAGUAUACACAAAUCAGUAGAAAAAAGUUUUAGCCACAUAUGUUAUUAUUUAACUUAUAAUUACUCAAAAUUAUAGUAUAACAAUGUACUACAAUAAUAUGACUAUAACCCAUCAGGAUCAUAUAUAUCGAAUUUGACCACAUGAUAUAUCAUUUUUUAAGAAAUUAAAUUAAUUUAUUUGAGACCACGGGUUUUUUUUUAACUUUGUUAGAUUCAAAUCAUUUUUUAUAAAGACUACUUCGAAUAUAGUGGGCUCCUGGAGUUUUUAUCGGAUUAUAUCAGAUUUUUAAUUAACAUUUUUCUUAAAUCCGAACCAGAUUAUAUACUGGGUACCGGGUAUACUGUUUGAUCACGGCUCCGAGUCGGAUAGGAAAACGCUUCUUAAAAUUCAAAUAUCAUAACAAAAACUCUUAAAUUAUUUUUUCUAAUAAAAUUUUAUAAAUUCAUGCAAAUUUUACCAAAAUUGUCAACAAAAAAAGAUACUCGUGCUUUGAAAACGGGUCAAAAAAGUAGUACCUUUGAAAUUGAAUAUAGAUAAAAAUAGUAUAUAUUGAUGGUUAUAACUAUGAUACAAAUAUGUAACAAUAGAAACUCAUUUUCAAUUUAAAAUAAGCAACUCAUAUCGUUACUACAUUUCAAUAUUGAAAACACAUUGUUCUUCAAUAUAGAAUAUAUAUAUACUAUUAAAUCACACAUAUAAACUUUAAUCUACUUCAAAUAAAUACCACACCUUGAUUUUUUUUUUGAAAAACAUAAAUUUGUAAGAUUUGAAACAAAAGAUAAAAGUAGUUUUCCAAUCAAUAUUAGAUCAAUAGGUGAAAAAACAAACCCGCACUUUUAAGUGCGGGUCAAAAUCUAGUAAUGAUUUAAAAUGUGAUAUGUAAAUAAUAUUUAUGUUAUUUAAAAUAUUUAAUAAUUUAAAACACCCAAAAUUAAACUAAAAUAUUUAUGGAUUUUUUAUUAUUAUGUUCUAGUUUAUUUGAUAUCAUAAAUAGUAUUUUUCAUUUUACAGAUUGUAGUAUCUUCCUACAGCAAAAUAAAAUACAGCUACAAUAACAAAAACUACAAAAUAAAUUAUAUGGCUACAUUUAUACAUUAGAGUCGAAAAUAAUAGUAACCACAACAACUAUAAUCUUUUUACAAAAAAAAUCAACCAUAAUCUAAUCUAUCAUAAAAUCAAAUAAUAUAUUUUACUAGUUUCUAAUAUUUAUUUUUCAUAAAUUAAUAUUUUAAAAGUAAAUGCUUGUAAAACACAUAUAUUUGUGUUGUUUUGUGUUUAUAUUUAAGAUAAAAAGAUCCAUGAAUCCGAAGAUCCAAACCGAACACAGCCUAAAAACUAGUAUCGAACCAAUUAAAUCCGAACAAAAAAAUACCUGAAGGGAUCCAAAAAUAUAUAUAUCCUAAGAACUAAUCCAAACCGGGAAUUAAGUGGGGUUCAAUGUAUGUUAAUAAAAUUAUAUUUUCAAAGAAUAUUAAUUAGAUUUAAAAUAAUUUAAAUACCUAAAAUUAUAAUUAUAAAUGUCAAGUUAUCAAUUAUUUUAAGACAUAAAUAAUCAAAAUACCCAAGAAGUUCAAUUAUCUGAAAAUUAUUAGCUAUAGUUGUCAAAAUUUAACCAUUCUUAUGUUUAAGAUAUCUUAAUUUGAUCCAAAUGUGGAUGAAACCGAACUAAAGCAAAUUCUAAAAUAUCGAAUGAAUAUGUCCCUAAUAUCGUAUUAUCUGGAACCGAAGUAUCUGAUCUGAAACUGAAUAGAUAUUUGAAUUCUUAUGCAUGCCUAAAUAAGAUUAGUUUAACUGAAGUUAGAAACAGUAAAUUUCUUUUCAUAAUCUAACAAUACUAAAAGGGGAAUAUCCUCCACUCUAAAGCUAUCCACGUCACUAUAAAAAAUCAACCAAUAGUGAAGCUUCGUUUUGCCACGUCAGACCGUCUUAGAAGUUAUAAUUGGACAGCAUUCAUGUGGGCUGAUAAAAAUCGAAGUGGCCCAUUUUAAACCAUUAUUUUCUUUCGAGCCCGAUGUUAGCUGCAGACAAUGUUCUCCGACUCUUCCACUCCAUCAUCAUUGUUUUCAAUUCCUGAAACUCACCGUUACUGUGAAGUCAUCAAGCCCCACUUUUAAUCAUUGAAUUAUGGUCUUUACUUCUCUCUUCAUGAGAGAUGAGAUAUGCAGUGAUUCGUUCAGUAGUCGCAAGGUUGAAACUCUCCAAAUUCUCCCUUCUCACACUAUAAAUAACAGGAGUCACUCUCUCAACCACUACACUCCAAACACCGUUGAUAUUAUUCACCACCUCCAUUUCACAUAGAUUGACGACACCUACCACCGCCAUCUCUCCCAAUCCGAGUAGAACCUCAGUGAAUAAUUGUUCCGAAGAGCUUGACUUGGUCUUGCGAUGCUGUUGAUAGAUGACCAGGUAUACAAACUACCUACUAUAAUCAUUUUCAAUCGUUGUAUCUCAUACUGUACAAACCAAAUUGUUUAGAUGUUCCAGAAUUGAAUCUUAAAGAGAUUCUGAUUGCAUUUCUCUCUUAUGGAAUCCCAAUCACUCACUGUUACCAUUUCAGAACAUUUUGAGCAGCUUAAACUGCCCCAGGAGAACCGCUGAUUCUCCACAUGUAGAUAUUAUCUUCUCUUGCUCUUGCUAAAAUUUUGAGAUUUUAGCUAUUUACUCAUGUCUAGCUGCUACUAAAUAUUUACUUUCUGUUUCGAACCUAAAAUGCCGUUGUUUUUCUUUCUAUCAGGAGCUGAUGCAAUUCUCCACUCAAGAAAGUGAUAUAGCAGCUGCUGCAAAUGAAGCUCUUAAAAGAUUCAGAGACAAAAGCAAGAAACGGUUUUGUUCUGGUGGACAUGGAAUUCAGCUACCUCACAGUUGAGUUAUUCAGAAAACUACACCUUGAACCCAAGAAAUAGAAACCAAACCCGAGAAAUGCCCCAUCACAAAACACAGACAUCUACUCCAAUAAUCACUUCAGGUAGAUUGGAUCCAACGUAAGUGCCUACAUAAACAUGCUCUUUAACUCACUGAGAAACUAUCUUUCGAAAACUGUUAUUUACUACAAAGUUAGAGAAGCUAUGAUAUCCCUCAACUUCUUCUACGCUCAUGUCGACAGGAAAGAGGUAAAAAAAUAUUACUACACUUUCAUAUUGAAGAUGGAAAGCACUUUCUAAUGAUUCAAUAAAAUAAAUGGUGCAGAAGGAGAAGCCGGGGACGAUGUUGGACGAAGACACACAGCUCAUGGAACAAAGAGGAACCUAAUCCAAACGGCUCGAUCUUUACAAACUAGGUUGAGAUGUAUCGAUCCUGUGCCUUAGAGAUAUAAUGGGUUAUAAGAUGGCAGCACUCCUCUCUCCAUUAUUAACACGAAGAACGAAGAGCACGUUUGUUGUGACUCCUCCAGCUAAUGUCACAGAGACUCUUAUAAGUAAGAACCCCAUACUAUGUUCUAAAAGUCAAUCUUUACCAUAACAUUAAUGCAUUGUGGCUUGAUGAAGUACUUUCCUGCAGAGGAGAUCCCGGUUCAGUACGGUGGUAACGAAAGAGAUGAUGAUACCAAAUUCUCCAAUGAAGCUGAUUCUCCAAUGAAGCUGUUUCUGAAGUUGUCGCUAAGCCUGGGUCAUCUGUAAACAUAGAGAUCCCAGCUUCUGAGGUAAUAAUUGAAAAAACAAACUCCUUUCUGUGUUCGGGAGUUGUAAAAGAUCUAUAUCAAUGUUUUUGUUUAGUCCUUUUCCUUUUAAAUCAGAGUUUAUUUCCAGAUUGUUGAAGACUUAAUUUUUUUUUUUGCAUGAGUUCACUGAUAAACCCGAAACAGUUGCCAAUAAAUUCCCUCUAGGGACAAUUAUGCUAAGUGUUAUCAUUAAUCUUUUUUUUGGACAAAUUUACCAUUCAUCUAUUAUUCACUAAUCAAUUCUUGAGCUUGAGACUAGAGAUUUGUUUCUUUCUUUGAUACAGGAACAAGGUGAAACCAAAGCCUCUGAAAAUGAUACUCAAUCUUCAAAAGUAUUUGUCAAAUUAAUUACCGGCGAAAUGACAUGGGACGGGAAGUCUAAAUAAUUUAGCAACGCGUGUCCCUGAGCUUCGGCUGUUUCUGUCCAUUGAAUACAUGGCCAGAGGAUGUAAUUCUUGCUGCCUUUCUGGGGCACAUGGCAACCAUUGCAGCAUUUUUUUUUAAUCUUUAUUUUAGGUUUCUAAUAACUAUCCGCUAAGUUUCGUGAUUUUUAAGCUUUUAGCUCUCUCU